UCUUUAAUGUACCUAGAAUAAUCCUACCUUCACAGUCAUAUUGUUUACUUUUAUACUAAAUAUACAAUACCUUCAAACUUUUCAGCUACUUAUAGAGUAUCCUGAAAAUGAUUUCGUUAUCGCCACGUAGUAAUUACUUACACUAAGCAUAAAAAAAUAAAAAAUAAACAUUAGAGUGCCAAUUUCAAAAGAAAAAAACAGCUAAGUCUCCUUUAAAUCAUCACUCUUCUGCUGAUACACACUGACCUAACCUAAAAUUUAAGAGGCAAUGGGAAGGAAGCCACCCACUCCAUGCCAAGCCAGUGACCACAGACAGAGUCAAUAACAAGGCUUGGUAUUUUCAAGCACUGGCUUUUUCCGGUACCACUAGAAACAGCUCUAAUUUGAGCUCCAAAGCACACUGGGUUAGGAAGAGCAAGAAAUAAAAGACAACACCGCAAUGCCAAAUUCCAUUCUAUAUACAUGGAAGCAUUCGCCUGACUCAACAAACUACAUCCUCCCUGGAAGUUGAAGUCCCUAUAACAGACUUUUCAAUCCUGACAUUUAUGAAAAUCACCUCUUUUGUCUUUUCACUUUUACCACCCAAUUGAGCAUCCCUGAAGACUGAUUUAGUUUUGCUUAUUUUAUAAUUUUAUAUAAUUGGAAUCAUAGAACAUGCAUUCUUUAUGACUGGCCUCUGUUGCUCAAUGUUGUAUUCGUGAGAUGUAAACAUAUUGUGAGAUGCAGCUGCCUGCCUCUUUUCACCGUUCUAUAAUAUUCCAUUGUGUAAAUUAACUACUUUCACCCAUUCUAUUGUUAGAAGACACUUGUGUCUUUCUGGUUUGAGGCAAUUAUGAAUAUUGUUAACUUAAUGAACAUCACAACUCUUUUGGUUCAUAAAUAAACAUAAGUCUAGGAGAA
Long non-coding RNA from Leopardus geoffroyi (Geoffroy's cat), 900 nucleotides. RefSeq lists it as uncharacterized. Lineage: Eukaryota; Metazoa; Chordata; Mammalia; Carnivora; Felidae. The record is from RefSeq and is a predicted model, not a curated record. The transcript is spliced from 2 exons.